RNAcentral lists this ribosomal RNA (376 nucleotides) under uncultured bacterium. RNAcentral describes it as "bacterial SSU rRNA". It matches the Rfam family "Bacterial small subunit ribosomal RNA", at positions 523 to 898 of the family's 1533-position model. The record is from RNAcentral.
AUACGUAGGGGGCAAGCGUUGUCCGGAAUUAUUGGGCGUAAAGCGCGCGCAGGCGGUUCUUUAAGUCUGGUGUUUAAACCCGAGGCUCAACUUCGGGACGCACUGGAAACUGGGGGACUUGAGUGCAGAAGAGGAGAGUGGAAUUCCACGUGUAGCGGUGAAAUGCGUAGAUAUGUGGAGGAACACCAGUGGCGAAGGCGACUCUCUGGGCUGUAACUGACGCUGAGGCGCGAAAGCGUGGGGAGCGAACAGGAUUAGAUACCCUGGUAGUCCACGCCGUAAACGAUGAAUGCUAGGUGUUAGGGGUUUCGAUACCCUUGGUGCCGAAGUUAACACAUUAAGCAUUCCGCCUGGGGAGUACGGUCGCAAGACUGAA